This 503-nucleotide ribosomal RNA is filed under the name uncultured bacterium. RNAcentral's name for it is "partial 16S ribosomal RNA". It matches the Rfam family "Bacterial small subunit ribosomal RNA", at positions 30 to 523 of the family's 1533-position model. The record is from RNAcentral.
AUUGAACGCUGGCGGCAGGCUUAACACAUGCAAGUCGAGCGGGGUGAUGGUGCUUGCACUAUCACUUAGCGGCGGACGGGUGAGUAAUGCUUAGGAAUCUGCCUAUUAGUGGGGGACAACAUCUCGAAAGGGAUGCUAAUACCGCAUACGUCCUACGGGAGAAAGCAGGGGAUCACUUGUGACCUUGCGCUAAUAGAUGAGCCUAAGUCGGAUUAGCUAGUUGGUGGGGUAAAGGCCUACCAAGGCGACGAUCUGUAGCGGGUCUGAGAGGAUGGUCCGCAACACUGGGACUGAGACACGGCCCAGACUCCUACGUGAGGCAGCAGUGGGGAAUAUCGGACAAUGGGGGGAACCCUGAUCCAGCCAUGCCGCGUGUGUGAAGAAGGCCUUAUGGUUGUAAAGCACUUUAAGCGAGGAGGAGGCUCUUUUGGUUAAUACCCAAGAUGAGUGGACGUUACUCGCAGAAUAAGCACCGGCUAACUCUGUGCCAGCCGCCGCCGUAA